This is a long non-coding RNA of Parasteatoda tepidariorum (common house spider), 1215 nucleotides long. RefSeq lists it as uncharacterized. NCBI's taxonomy places the organism in Eukaryota, Metazoa, Arthropoda, Arachnida, Araneae, Theridiidae. The record is from RefSeq and is a predicted model, not a curated record.
CUUAGAUUCGAAUCGAAAUCCAUCUGGUAAGGAUAUUCAAAAAAGGGUUAAGAAAGACGUUUCCGUUCUAAUUACGCUGCAGAGGACGCAAAGUUCGAUGACAGACAUGUUUCCCAUUACAAAAUUUUACAAUUUCUGAACUGUUUAAAAAAAGAGGAAAUCCCCCCUUUCCGUUUUUGGGAUGGAAAAAGGGUUAGAAACAUCCCUCGUUCACCCCACCUGGUAAAAAGUUCGACAACCGCAAGAGGAUAAGGGGACCAUGCUUUUAGGAUUUCCAUUUUUGAACAUAAUUUCGAUGGUUUAAGAAGUCGUUCUUAGGAUUAUACGACAAAUCUUUUCUUCUAAGGAGUGGGAUUUAAAUCCCUGAUUUGUGUGGACACAAGAUGCAGGAAGAUGUCAAGGAGCGGAAUUAUGGAAAUAUGGAGCGGUUAAUGGAAGACGAGAACAAUCUUUUACAACAAAAUCGACAAAACGAGUUUUUUUUUCAGUUUUUGAUGCCUUUAACAAAAUAGCUGACUUAGUUAUGAUGCAUAACGUUAUUGUUAGUAGGUGUCGGCGAAUGAAUAUUUUUUUAGAUGCCUAGGAGAAGUAAAGUCUGUGAAUCUGCUUCGAUUUUCAUAUGGAGGGCCGAUUACUAUUUUUUUCUAAGCCUUCGGUGAAAGUGAAAGUUGCUGAAUAACACCUGUUAUGCCGCCGAAAACCGUUAACAAUUCUUGGGGAUGGAGAAGAAAAGAAGAGGACGAAGAAAAAAAAAAUCUUCGCUGUGAAGAGAAAGUUCCUGCUCAACCCCCCUGCCCUUACCUGAAUUUAAGACGAUGAUAAGUAUUGCAAGUAUUCUACACCAGAGGGCGCUGGAAAAUACAAGUUUUAUAGUGGGAAAAGCGUUCUGUUCUUCAUCAAGAGCGGAGGACAGCAAUAGUGAAAGAAUGAAAAGAACUUGGAUUUAGAAGUUGGCGAUAUUUUCCCCCAAAUUGUUGUUUCACAUCAAAACACCAAACAAAAUAGAAGACAAUUAAAAACUGGCAUUUAAAUAUCUAAAAAAAACCACGCCUCUUUAUUUAAAUAUACUUGUAUUUCAUUGGACGUCUAAGUAUUGAUUUCUUUCACAUUAUGUUCAGAAUUGAAAUACUGCGCACAUAUGCAUCACGCACGAAUGCAUUUUAUCUUGCCUAUUCUUCGAAUAUCUUCCUUUUUUAUUUCUUUUUCAUAUUAAAU